CCCAGACUCCUACGGGAGGCAGCAGUGGGGAAUAUUGCACAAUGGGGGAAACCCUGAUGCAGCGACGCCGCGUGAGUGAAGAAGUAUUUCGGUAUGUAAAGCUCUAUCAGCAGGGAAGAAAUAGCGACCUUUGGGUCGCCAGACGGUACCUGAUUAAGAAGCCCCGGCUAACUACGUGCCAGCAGCCGCGGUAAUACGUAGGGGGCAAGCGUUAUCCGGAUUUACUAGGUGUAAAGGGAGCGUAGACGGCAGCGCAAGUCUGAAGUGAAAUGCCGGGGCUUAACCCCGGAACUGCUUUGGAAACUGUGCAGCUAGAGUGCAGGAGAGGUAAGUGGAAUUCCUAGUGUAGCGGUGAAAUGCGUAGAUAUUAGGAGGAGCACCAGUGGCGAAGGCGGCCAACUGGGCUUUAACUGACGCUGAGGCUCGAAAGUGUGGGGAGCAAACAGGAUUAGAUACCCCAGUAACA
Molecule: ribosomal RNA, 466 nt
Filed under: uncultured bacterium
Lineage: Bacteria
Description: bacterial SSU rRNA
Rfam family: Bacterial small subunit ribosomal RNA
Source: RNAcentral